RNAcentral lists this ribosomal RNA (462 nucleotides) under uncultured bacterium. RNAcentral's name for it is "partial 16S ribosomal RNA". It matches the Rfam family "Bacterial small subunit ribosomal RNA", at positions 28 to 506 of the family's 1533-position model. The record is from RNAcentral.
GACGAACGCUGGCGGCGUGCUUAACACAUGCCAGUCGAACGGUGAACCUCUUCGGAGGGGAUCAGUGGCGAACGGGUGAGUAACACGUGGGCAACCUGCCCCCGGCUCUGGGAUAACUCCAAGAAAUUGGGGCUAAUACCGGAUGUUCACCGCUUCCCGCAUGGGUGGUGGUGCAAAGGGUUUCCGGCUGGGGAUGGGCCCGCGGCCUAUCAGCUUGUUGGUGGGGUAGUGGCCUACCAAGGCGACGACGGGUAGCCGGCCUGAGAGGGUGACCGGCCACACUGGGAUUGAGACACGGCCCAGACUCCUACGGGAGGCAGCAGUGGGGAACAUUGCGCAAAGGGCGGAAGCAUGACGCAGCGACGCCGCGUGGGGGAUGACGGCCUUCGGGUUGUAAAACUCUUUCAGCAGGGAAGAAGCGCAAGUGACGGUACCUGCAGAAGAAGCACCGGCCAACUACGU